Tardiphaga sp. is the source of this 76-nucleotide regulatory RNA element. It matches the Rfam family "chrB-a RNA". Lineage: Bacteria; Pseudomonadati; Pseudomonadota; Alphaproteobacteria; Hyphomicrobiales; Nitrobacteraceae. The record is from Rfam.
AACACGGGGGUGGCGAUCCCCCCGCGAGGCGACAUGCCCAAGUAUCGCGUCCUGAAUUCACCAAGGGCGCAGCAUG